Molecule: non-coding RNA, 2046 nt
Organism: Lolium perenne
Lineage: Eukaryota; Viridiplantae; Streptophyta; Magnoliopsida; Poales; Poaceae
Source: RefSeq, a predicted model, not a curated record
CACUGAUUUGGGAUGGUUGUUGUUAGUUCGUGCGAGGAGACAUUGGAUGAUAAAAGGGUCCUUUUGGUGCAUGCCUCAAAUUUUGAUACACUCCCUUUACAGCUCUUGAAUUAGCGCACCUCCUGAAAUUAGUGAUUCAGGCUUAGAUUGCUUUAUUAAAAUUGACUGCCGUCCUAUUAUUUCAACCUUAUAGCCCAUGCCAUAUACAAACUGCCGUGCUAUUUGGCAUUGGUUAAUAUACCAUACCUCUCUCCAUAUCAUUAAAGUUUAGAUCAGACUUCUUGGUUACGGUUAUACAUUCAUAAACCACUUAGUUUAUUUCUUUCUUUCUGAAAUUGAGCCAUUUGUUUGAUGCUUCACCCCAAUAGCUCAUAUGAGUUUCUACAAUUGUUUCUCAUGGUAUUUAGUCUAGCAAUUACCUAAGUUGAGCAUCAUGCUAUUUCAAAGGUCUUCGUUUUUCCGGUGUUUUAGUAUUGUAUUAGAACUAGAGGCUUGGUAAGGUUAUCAUUUUUAGGAAUUGGUACAUAGUCAUUGCUAGAAUUUAGCUUGCUGCUAGACUAUUCUUAGGACAUCCUGUUAUUUAAUGCGGGAAAUGCUCUUCAACGAAGCCAUGUAAAUCUACCGCCAAUGUUAGUAACAUGGAAUUGCUCACUUUAUUUGAGCCAUCUGAUUUUCACAAUCAAGUGAUGUCGUGAGAGUGUGGAAAGAUAGUUCUAGUUCUACCAGUUACAAUUAAGCAUUUGUGAUGCUGCCAGAUACUUCUAGCCAAAGUCAUUCUGUGCAAGCGGACGAUGGUCCUGAUGUAGUGGUCCUUUUGGUUUCCCAAGAUGUGGUAGGGACACCGCAAACACUUAUGUUUUCAUGUUUUCGUAUUGUUUCUAGCGCCCGUUAAUUCGAUUUGAGAUUAAAGCAUAUAUAUAGAGAAUUAUUUUUGUUUUUGCUCUGGUCUUUUGGGCCAUAACAGGAAAAGAGAUAAAAGUACAUAUUUUUGGCCAACAAAUUUAAUCGUAGUAUAUAACCUGCAAAUUUCGCCCCAAGAUUUACACCUAUAAUAUGAAUAGCAAGUAUGCAGUAGUGUGGCCUGCACAUCACUUCACUUCGGUGCAAAAUCCAGAAGGAUUUACAAAUUUUAUUUAUUACUAUUUGAAAAAGGUAAAUUGCAGGAGUAAAAUAACCGACAAAGUAAUUUUGAUUACUUCUACACUAUGGUUUCAUCAGUUUUCUAUUAUAUUUCAGGCAUAAAAUCUUGCUCCUAGAUGCAACAACUGCUUUAUCUCCGCGGAAUAUUGGAGAAACCUAGAAUCAUGCUUUAUUGUUGCCUAUAAUUCUGGUCUUGUGCUUUUAUAGUGUUGUUCUUUCAGAGUCUUUCACUCUGCAAAUUCCUAAGGUGGUUGUCAUUGACAUGUCAAUUAUUCAUUCCUGACUCCUCAUGGACUGCGUGUGGGUUCUUCUUUACACCAAUGGAUACUUCUGAUGGUGGUACAUGAAUUUUCAAGCUCACCUAGGACUCCACCAAAUACCACCUAUUCUUAAAGAUUCUUUACAAAGAUAUAUUGAAUGGUUUCCUGAUGGUGUGAGCAAGACUAUUAUUGGAAACAAGACAUGAAUAGUAGAGUGAAGGGUUAUACAAGAUUGGUGUUCCAUCAAUGGAUGUAGUUGGUCAUCUAUAAUUAAAACUGAAUGCUAUGGUAUCACUUCAGGGUGUUGCUUCUGUAGAGGCUGCGUUUAACUCUCCUUCAGGUAUAUGUAUUUCUACACCCCAUGUCUCCAUUCUUUUUAUCUGCUUAAUGAUGAAUGGUAGGCUAUUCAGAGUUAAAUGUAUAAUAUAGGAAUAAAGAUGUCAUGUGUAUUAUUACUGCUGUAGGGCAACGCUGUGACUGUAAUUUUGUUUUCUAAGUGGAAAUGGGAUGGGGCUGAGGCAUGUUAAUCUGAAAUAAAUAUCAUAUAUAGGAAGAAAGAUGUCAUGUGUAUUAUUACUUCCUUUUAUUACGAACAAAUAAAUAGAUCACCAGUUGUGUAUCGAUUUCAAGAUAUUAUCUUCAAUAC